AAAAGGUGCAGAAGUUCUGUGGGAAGGCGGCUUCCCAGGGCGGGUGUGCUGGGGACCCACGCGGCACCGCGGGGAGGGGGCUCUGCGCGCUCAACCCCGUCCCGGGCACUAUCCGCCGCCUCCACCCGCCGGCCUCCCGCAGCCUGGCCAGCGCCAUGAGGACCAAGCAGGUGAACUUGCUGAUCACCCUGGUCGCCGUCGCGUUGUUCAGCUUCUCUUGCUUCUGCAUCUACAGGAUAACUCAAACCAAUAAUCAAUUAAUUAACUGUAGAAACCAUAUUUUGGAGUUUAAAGAAAAUAUGCUACACUUAAGAAACAAAACUGAAAAAAAUAGCCAAGAGAUGAAAGUUUUGAAUCGAAUGAAGUAUGAAAUUACAAAGAGAGAAAUUUUGUCAGGAAACUUAGAGUAAUGAAGAUUAUUUACAUUCUGUUGUUAAAAUGAUUACAAAAAAAUUCAAAAGGCAAGUGAGGUCUGGAUCCU
This 481-nucleotide small RNA is filed under the name Pan troglodytes (chimpanzee). RNAcentral's name for it is "processed transcript". The record is from RNAcentral. Lineage: Eukaryota; Metazoa; Chordata; Mammalia; Primates; Hominidae.